This 252-nucleotide ribosomal RNA is filed under the name uncultured bacterium. Its description in RNAcentral is "partial 16S ribosomal RNA". It matches the Rfam family "Bacterial small subunit ribosomal RNA", at positions 525 to 776 of the family's 1533-position model. The record is from RNAcentral.
ACGUAGGUGGCAAGCGUUGUCCGGAAUUAUUGGGCGUAAAGGGCUCGCAGGCGGUUUCUUAAGUCUGAUGUGAAAGCCCCCGGCUCAACCGGGGAGGGUCAUUGGAAACUGGGAAACUUGAGUGCAGAAGAGGAGAGUGGAAUUCCACGUGUAGCGGUGAAAUGCGUAGAGAUGUGGAGGAACACCAGUGGCGAAGGCGACUCUCUGGUCUGUAACUGACGCUGAGGAGCGAAAGCGUGGGGAGCGAACAGG